CCCUAUGUCGCUCCGAUUCGUCCCUCCCCCCCACGCCCAACGCACACACUCCCCCGCACUCCCCUUUCCCCGGCCCCGGCCCUGAGGUUUGAAACCACCCCCGCCACGCGCCGGCUAUGUCCCCCCGACCCUUCGAUGCCUCUGCUGGUCGGGAUCCCCCCCACCCCCGUGCCCAUGUCAUGUCGUCUUGUCCCUCAACAACUUGGCAAAGGCAUGGAAACUUGGAAACUUGGAAACUUGACCAAAGACACGUGACGCGUGCCACCGCCCGUGCCAUGACGCGUGCCACGGGGCCUUUCAUAGUGCUCGCCCGCAAGCCAAGCCAAGGUGGCACGGGGCCUUGCUUGGUGCCCGCGAGCCAAGCCAAGGUGGCACGAGGCCUUGCAUGGUGCCCACCCGCGAGCCAAGCCAAGGUGCCACAGGGCCUUGCUUGGUGCUCGCGAGCCAAAGCCAAGGUGGCACGGGGCCUUGCAUGGUGCCCUCCCGCAAGCCAAGCCAAGGUGCCACGGGGCCUUGCUUGGUGCCCGCCCGCGAGCCAAGCCAAGGUGCCACGAGGCCUUGCUUGGUGCCCGCGAGCCAAGCCAAGGUGCCACGGGGCCUUGCUUGGUGCCCGCCCGUGAGCCAAGCCAAGACACGCGACGCGUGCCACGGGGCCUUGCUUGGUGCCCGCGAGCCAAGCCAAGUUGGCACGAGGCCUUGCAUGGUGCCCGCCCGCGAGCCAAGCCAAGGUGCCACGGGGCCUUGCUUGGUGCCCGCGAGCCAAGCCAAGGUGGCAUGAGGCCUUGCAUGGUGCCCCCCCGUGAGCCAAGCCAAGACACGCGACACGUGCCACGGGGCCUUGCUUGGUGCCCGCGAGCCAAGCCAAGACACGCGACGCGUGCCAUGUGGCCUUUGCUUGGUGCCCACGAACCGAGCCAAGACACAUGACGCGUGCCACCUCCCGUGCCACGACAGCUACAAUGACCCUCGAUAUGGUGCUAGAGGCUGUGCUAGGACACGUGACCCAUGCCAUGAUGCGUGCCACGGCCCGAGGCACGACACGUCUCGCGUGGCACGACCCCCAUGCCAUGGUGCCACGACACCUGUAAUGACCCAUUCCAUGGUGGUAGAGGCUGUGCCAAGACACAUGGUGCGUGCCCUAUCUGGAUUUCGACCCUGAUGCCUUGACAAGGUUCCGGAUUAUGGUCUAUUGCUAAUCACGGAAUGUUAUUAAUCCAUGGAUUCAUGUUGCAAAGGUUGUUCGCUAUUUUUUUUUAUAUGGUUUUUUUAAGUAAAAAAAUUUAAAAAUAAAUUUUUUUUGGACAAUCCUUGGAUUCUUUUUUAAGAUUUCUUUUUUCCAUAUCAAAUACAAUUUUAAAAAAUAUUUAAAGUAAUUUUUACUUAUUUUCCCCAUUUUCCCCUAUUUUUCUAAGUAAAAAAACUAAAAAAAAAAAAAAAUUGCCAUGAGAGCUUCACCAAUCCUUGAAUUCGUCUUCCAUAUAUUUUUCCCAUGUGAAAUACAUUUUUUAAAAAUAUUUACACUAUUUUUUCCUCAUUUUUACUAUUUUUUUAAGUAAAAAAUUCGAAAAAAAAAAUAUUUUUGAGAGAUAAGUUGCAUUAAUCCAUGGGUUUCUAUUCCAGAUAGUUUUCCCAUGUGAAAUACAAUUUUUAAAAAUAUUUUCACAAUUUUUUGGUAUUUUUURSUAUUUUUYMCUAUUUUUCCCUAUUUUUCGGACAAAAAAAUUAAAAUAAAUAUUUUCUGGGCCGAAAUUUUUUUUUUUUUUUUUCCUUGGGUUCAUAUAAUUAUUAUAAAGAGAUUCAGCAAAAAAAACGGAAUUAAAAACUCUUUUUUCAUUAAAAAAUGGCAUUAUGUCUCCUCAAGCAUGGGUGAUGUCUCCUCAAGGCAUUUCCAAAAUGGCCCAAAAUGCUCUUUAAGGGGGGGGUGCUGUCCUCAAUGGGCUGGCAGCACCACCCGCCCAGGCACGCUGCAGCGCGUGCCGCCCUUGGCGUGCAGGCCGCCCAUGCCACCCUAGGCAUGGCGCCCCCGCAUAUGCCACCCUCAAGCCCACGACACGCUAAUGCGAAGAGAGCACGCCCGCGACACCGUGGGGAGCCCUCGCACGCAGCAGCAGUCACCCCGUGCCCCGUACACGCUGCACCCCGGACGCGUCCCAUGCCCCCCAUGCGGACACGCCCUCCCCCCAUGCAACGAGUGCCCUCCCCGCGCACUCGGCCCCGUCCCUCCCCGUCUCGGCUCGGCUCGACCCCUCAAGCGAGCAUGUUGCCUCGGAAAAGCUUGCCAAUGGCCAGCGUCGUGGCUCACCCCGGGGGCUCACCCCAUGCCUCCCGCCCGACGUUGCCCAUCAAAAGGCACACGGAUGCCCCUCCCCCCCAUGCAACGAGAGCCCUUCUCGGGUGCUCGGCCCCCCUCAUCUCGACUCGUCGAGGAGCCCUCAAGCCCUCGAGCGAGCAUGUUGCCUCGGAAAAACGUGCUAGUGGCCAACGUCGCGGCUCACCCCGGGGGCUCACCCAUGCCCCCCGCCCGACGUUGCCCAUCGAAAGGCACACGGAUGCCCCUCCCCCCCCAUGCAACGAGUGCCCUCCCCGGGCAGUCGGCCCCGUCCCGGCUCGUUGAGGAGCCCUCAAGCCCUCGAGCGAGCAUGUUGCCUCGGAAAGGAGCCAGACGCAUUGUCGCCAUGCCUAUAUCGGUCCUACGAAGGCUUCACUCGUUGCUCCCGUGUGCUAGUCAGGAGUCGCCUCCGGACGAGUCGCGGUUCGACGCGUGAUGCCGUGUCGUAGUGAACCUGAUGGCGUGUGAGUGGUGUUUGGGUCGCGUGGGUCGGCAGGCUCCUUGCUCGUGCAACGAACUGUCGCCGCACCCCCCUCUUCAUUCUAAGCCUCAAGCGCUGCAACAAGCCUUGGGCGUCGCGAUGCCGUGGUUCCUGUGUUGCCUUCCUAACGGAUGGAAUUGUCCCUCGAACGUUGCCUAUCUCCGCCCGGCUCCCGCUCACGCGGUGCGGGCGGACCUCGAAAGCGGUCGCCGCGUCCCAUGUUCGCCCCACGCAUGCGCACGCAUGAGAGGAGUCGAGCAUGGCCCGCGACGGCCGCUCGUGCUCUCGGAUGCGGAACCUUAAAACGAGCGUGGGGGUCCCUCGGGAUCCCGUACUCGCUCGAGCUAAGCGUUCGUCGCUAGACGCGUACGACGGCCGUCCCCGUCUUUGCCCUCCCGUCCCGCUCCCCUCGGGGGGCGUCGGUCAGGCGCAUGCGGUGCCGGCGUCGCACAGGAAUGC
This 3269-nucleotide unclassified non-coding RNA is filed under the name Vitis retordii. Its description in RNAcentral is "partial external transcribed spacer". Lineage: Eukaryota; Viridiplantae; Streptophyta; Magnoliopsida; Vitales; Vitaceae. The record is from RNAcentral.